RNAcentral lists this long non-coding RNA (2041 nucleotides) under Macaca fascicularis (crab-eating macaque). Its description in RNAcentral is "lncRNA (ENSMFAG00000062020.1)". The record is from RNAcentral. Lineage: Eukaryota; Metazoa; Chordata; Mammalia; Primates; Cercopithecidae.
CAGAAUAAAAUAUUUUAUUGUAUUCCAUACAUUCACAGAUCACUUCCAGAUUUAGUAACAACACUGCAAUGCUAUGAUGCUCAAACCACAGUGUAAGUUGGUAGCUCUCUCCUGCUCUCUUGGCCUCUAGAUGUAUCACAAUACAACUACUAACUGUGGCAACCAAUGCCUAUUUCAUUGGAUUAUUUUCUGACUGGAGCCUGGGUUCAUCGCUUUAAUUCUGGGAAGAAUUUUAAAGUACCUUCCCUUACAUUAUAAGAGAUAACCAAACACUUUAGUGUGAGGGCUGCUUCACACACAGUUUUUAUCUAUCACUAUCAUGACUGCUCUUCCUUACAUACACGUCCUGUACAGACCAGCUACAUACGGCAUGGUCCUGAGACCACAGCUUUUGUUUCUUUGGCCAGAAUGCACCCCUCACCUUCAGUGCCCGCCUUAGAAACGCAGGUACUUGGUUCUCGUGCAUGGUUGACACAAGUUCAUCUGCCCCAUGGUAAAAGCUCUUCAAAACCUUUGAAUGACUUGUGGGGAGCAGGGUCACAAUUUGUUGCAUGUGACCUACCUCAGCCUCAAAAGAUAAGAGAUCAUGAGCCUCCACUGCCCCUGGGCUCAGGGAACUUGAUCCACAUUGCUAGGGCUCUGCCUGUUAGGUUAUGGGUGCUCACCUGACUCUCUGAAGCAGAGGGAGGCUGACACAGAUUAGCUUUUAUUGAAAUUGUUAAAGUGCAACAUUGUGUUUUCACUCUAUCAGGCACUGAAAAGCAAGAAGCUUUUAAUGUCUUCUUUUCUAUAAUGAAAUAUAUUUUCUUUACUCUUAUUUGUAUCUGUAAUACACCUGCAAUUAUAAGCAGCAGUUAAACAUAAAACAAACAAAGAACAGAGCAGAAGGCACAGUCUAAAGAGUGGGUAUCAGAAGAAUUUUACCAUUUACGCUCAGGAAUACUAAACCAAACCCAAUCAGACCAAACUCCAAAGCCCAUUUUGUUUACAAAUCUGCCUCUUCUGUGCGAUAGCAAGUCAGUCCUUUAAAGCAGAAACCCCAUUUACUAAUCCUAUAUCCCAAGUAAGCAGGCCUGUAUUAGAACCAAAUAGCCGUCCUCUUACAUCAGAAAAUCUAAGUGAUCUGAAAGACAAUUCAUCACAAGUGUUUCCAAUUUUCUUCCGAGACCAUCACCAAUCCCACUAAUGCAAACUCAGAACAUUACUUCAGUCAAGUUUAGCUAAAUGCUAUAGCUUCUUUGAAAUAAAAAUUGGCCAGAAAAAUACCUAGAAAAGAUUUUUUUUUUUCAUUGUGGAUUCCAGGAGACUUUUAAGACAUUAUGGAAUUCUCAGUGAUUAUAUUCAAAUGGCAGAGUCACAUUUGCUGACAGUAUUUUCUAAUUUUAUCUUUCUUAUAAGAAAAAAAGGGUAAAAAUCGGAUCUGAAAUACAGGAUUCCCCAAAGUUAGAUAAUAACACAUCUUUUCAUUUCUCUUAUGAGAACUUUACGGUAAAUAUACCUUUAUCGUAGAAAUGAGAUAUCCAAUACACAUUACAAAAUGUUAUAUUUAAAGAUGACAAAUCUAUUCUUAACCCAGAUUCUUCAUCCACAGAAGUUUAAUGACUAAAAUAACACAACAGAAUGAACAAAUGUUUUAUUGGCAUGUUCAUUGUUGUAAACAGCAUCUGGCAUGAAAAAGUUUUACCAAAACCUUUUUUUACUGAUUUUUAUAAAUUAGAUGGUAUUUCAAAAUUUAUGUAGAAUUGUGUUCAUUGAAUACUUUUAUUUAGCAAAGCAAAAACUUGCUGAUACUAAUAGACUCUGCAAUGAAAUCAUGUUGACUGCAUCAGUCUGUACCAUGACCUGACCUCACUAGCAAGUUUAUUCAAAACAAUGUUAAGACGUUUCCCAAAAGUUAAACUACAUGUAACUACAAAUUGACUCUAAAAAUUAAAACUGGACUUACAAGCAUUCUAGAAGAUUCAAACUUGAAGUAAAUCUUCAAAACUAGAUGUACAAAGAGAAAAACUUUGAAGCCGCUGAACAGAGAAACCUCAUUAAC